AGUGAACGCUGGCGGCAGGCCUAACACAUGCAAGUCGAACGGCAGCACAGUAAGUGCUUGCGCUUACGGGUGGCGAGUGGCGGACGGUGGAGGUAGACAUCGGAAUCUUCUUUUUCGGGGGGGCUAACGUAGGUAAACUUACUCUAAUACCGCAUACGACGUACGUGUGUAAGCGGGGGAUCUUUUGGCCUGUCGGGAUUGAAUGAGCCGAUGUCGGAUUGGCUAGUUGGCGGGUUAAAGGCCAAGCAAGGCGACGAUCGGUAGCUGGUCUGAGAGGAUGAUCAGCCACCCUGGAAGAGAGGCACGGCCCAGACACCUACGGGAGGCAGCAGUCGGGAAUAGUGGACAAGGGAGGCGAGCCUGAUACAGCAAUACAGAGUGGGUGAAGAAGGCGUUCGGGUUGUAAAGCCAUUUUGUUGGGAAAGAAAAGCAGCAGGUUAAUACCCCGCUGUUCUGACGGUACCGAGAGAAUAAGCACCGGCUAACUUCGUG
This 492-nucleotide ribosomal RNA is filed under the name uncultured bacterium. Its description in RNAcentral is "partial 16S ribosomal RNA". It matches the Rfam family "Bacterial small subunit ribosomal RNA", at positions 29 to 507 of the family's 1533-position model. The record is from RNAcentral.